GUGAGUGCUCGUUCCCAAUGCUGGUGAACCGCGACCUUCCCCACACAGCUUCUUGACCACCUGGGAAAAAAAGUCAGAUUUGCAUUAUAUGAUAACGUCUAAUGGAUUCUAUUUCUUAGUGGAGUCCAUUUUCAGCGCCGUGCCAAAAGUGGAGAGGAUCUGGCUGCGGUAAUCUUGGACAUUCUCUGCCUCUGCCAGCAGGAAGGCAAGACGCAAGAGCCGCGCAGAGGGAAGUUCUCUCGGAGCAGGUGGAGCUUGGAAUUCGUGGCCUAAUGCAGAGACGAUCCCACCUGGUUCAGCUACGGUCAUGAGGAGUGUGGUGUACAGAAGGCGGACCACGUUCUCAUCCACCCCACACCGGCGAACACAUUCAGCAUUCAUAAACAGCGUGGUGAGAUUUAUUGCGCUAAAGUUAGACUGUUAAAUGCACUCAAUACGUUUAAUAUCCUCACUUGCUGGUGCGGACGGC
Molecule: long non-coding RNA, 469 nt
Organism: Gasterosteus aculeatus aculeatus (three-spined stickleback)
Lineage: Eukaryota; Metazoa; Chordata; Actinopteri; Perciformes; Gasterosteidae
Source: Ensembl